GACCGUUCCGAGGGGUGCUCCGAGGAGGAGCUGAGAUACCGCUAAAUGGGCAAUACCGCCCAGGACCGCGGUGACCCUUUGAACCUGAUCCGGGUCAUGCCGGCGAAGGGACAGGGAUGUUGCAGACCA
RNAcentral lists this non-coding RNA (129 nucleotides) under Bradyrhizobium yuanmingense. RNAcentral describes it as "TPP sequence". It matches the Rfam family "TPP riboswitch aptamer (THI element)". From Rfam's summary of the family: Vitamin B(1) in its active form thiamin pyrophosphate (TPP) is an essential coenzyme that is synthesised by coupling of pyrimidine and thiazole moieties in bacteria. The previously detected thiamin-regulatory element, thi box was extended, resulting in a new, highly conserved RNA secondary structure, the THI element, which is widely distributed in eubacteria and also occurs in some archaea. Analysis of operon structures identified a large number of new candidate thiamin-regulated genes, mostly transporters, in various prokaryotic organisms. Lineage: Bacteria; Pseudomonadati; Pseudomonadota; Alphaproteobacteria; Hyphomicrobiales; Nitrobacteraceae. The record is from RNAcentral.